UUGAAAGUGGAUAAUAUUGUGUUAAUUCGAUCAGAAUUCCAACAGUAAAGGGAAACAUCGAUAGUGUUAACUAACGAGAACUCUGGAAAGGUCAGAGAAGUUCAAUCUCGUGCUUCUCUGCGCAGGCUGAUCUUUUUUCUGCAUGACUGUCCCGGGGAGCUGCACGCCUGCAUGCAGUUUAGAGGGAAUAUUGUAUGUUCACUCAUAAAUUGUGCGACAGGGUUCUCUCAAUGUUUUUUUCCCCCUCGGCUUGAGACUUCUCAUUGUUAAGAUUUGAAAAUCCAACCAUUGUAAUAAAAGGGGGCGGUGUUAGGGUGCUGAGUGUGGCUGUGGGUGUUUGAGCCCCGUUUGAGUGAGACACAGAGGUGCGCAAACCAGUUAAAGCACAGCCCCCUCCCUUCAUUAUCGCCGCAUUGUGCCGACAACAUCAAAGAGCCAAUCCAGACUGAGAUUGUUCAGGACUUCUCUAUUUGAAACCCGGACUGCUCGGUGAACCUCACUGAACUGGAUCGGGCUCUUCAAGGACCAAAAACUUUUCUUUGCCAGCUGAGACAAGCAGGCCCAAGAUCUUCUCUUCAAAGUGCAGAUGCACAAGGUGACAUUGUUUUAAGACUUCUGCCAGUGGUCCUCCCACACCGGUCUACAAAGAUGCACAAGGUGACAUCGCUUUAAGACUUCUGCCAGUGGUCCUCCCACACCAGUCUACAAGAUUGGCAGGAAGACAUUCCGACCCAGCUUCUAAGAGACCAGAAAGUCCUUCAUUGACUUGCAGCCUGUAAAUUUAAAUAGUCGAUAGGGAGAUGGAUGGGGAAAUUAGAUGAUAGCGUUUGUAAGCCUUGAAUGAACAGAACACCAUUCCGAUAUCUGUUAUGCAGAACGGCACACUCCAAGACAUUGUUGUGUAAAUUAACCUAUAGAUACUGUAGGCAGGCCCCUGAGUAUGGUACAGCCCAUUGCUCAUAUGUUAAAUUGCCUACUUAUAACAUGACAACGGCUGUAUUCAUUUUUUAUUUUUUAUCAUUCUAUAAACAUUUUGGAUGUGCUUGGUUGGUCACUUUUAACACACUUCCAUAGUGUCUUAAUUAAAUACACUUUCAUCUAAAUGUAAAAUGUUAGCAUGAACAGAUAGACUGUCGCAUGGAAGGUACGUCAUGAUUAUCAGCCGAAAAGACGAUUCCAACACUUUCUUAAAAUAGCUCUGCUUUUAAGAUGCUGAUAAGCUGUUGCGUAGCAUUUUGUUUGAACAAUAGUAGGAGAAAAAGACAACCAAAUGAAGUUUCAUCAACUGCACAUGAACCAGGUUAGAAGAACCUCAUGGUUUCUGGCAAUUACGCUGCGAUGAUUAUGAUGGAAAGCUGUGAGCUCCUGUUACUCAAUACAUGUAUGUGUGUUCAUCACCGGUAAGUCGGUAACACUUGUUUGUAUCUCACUAGCUAUGUGUAUUGCACAAAGCUUGCUAGUUAGCUUGUAGUAUGGACUAGUGAGCUGUAUCCAAAUAACAGCUAUAAUAUUCUUCUGCAUUUGGAUAUUUAUGCAAACCUGUAGAUUCCACCAAGUAGGUAUAGAUAAUGCCAUAAGCCAAUUUGGUAGGGUUGUCUCCCCAGCUGGUCUCCAGGAAGUUGAAAGGACAUUAAAACACCAUUUCAAAUUUUGCUACAUAAGAGCGAAUUAAGCCAGUAGGUCACAUAUAGGCAAAAAUCCUCUUUUCUAAUUACCUAGAGUCUUUGAACGGUCUAGGUCUAGGUCCUCGGCCGUUCAAAGGCAGGCAAAGACAAAGUAUUUACGAGACGUAUCUAUGACUAGCGAAUUAGAUUGAGAUUAAUUUCUCUCACUAGAGUUGGCAGGUCAGUAACACAUUAGCGUGGCAGAAUAAGUGUAAUGUAAAUCAUUUGUUGUUGUGACAGCCAAGUAUGUACCUGUUAUGGCUGCAUCCCUUGUUCUCAAUUUCCGCCUGAAGACAUACCCUAAUCUAACUGCCUGUAGCUCAGACCCAGAGGCAAGGAUAUGCAU
Long non-coding RNA from Oncorhynchus keta (chum salmon), 2010 nucleotides. RefSeq lists it as uncharacterized. The record is from RefSeq and is a predicted model, not a curated record. NCBI's taxonomy places the organism in Eukaryota, Metazoa, Chordata, Actinopteri, Salmoniformes, Salmonidae. The transcript is spliced from 3 exons.